UGGCUCUCGCAUCGAUGAAGAACGCAGCGAAAUGCGAUAAGUAAUGUGAAUUGCAGAAUUCAGUGAAUCAUCGAAUCUUUGAACGCACCUUGCGCUCCUUGGUAUUCCGAGGAGCAUGCCUGUUUGAGUGUCAUGGUACUCUCAACCUCUGUUGCUUUUUUGCAGCUUUGGUUGGAUGUGGAGGCUUGCUGGCGCAUUCGUGUGUCUGCUCCUCUGAAAUGCAUUAGUUUGGACUGUCUCCGAGCAUGCUUCAGCGUGAUAAUUGUCUGCGCUGCUGCGUCUUGGUACAAAAAUGUCCCUGCUUACAACCGUCCCUCAGUGGACAACCUAUGAACUUCUGACCUCAAAUCAGGUAGGACUACCCGCUGA
RNAcentral lists this unclassified non-coding RNA (369 nucleotides) under uncultured fungus. Its description in RNAcentral is "partial contains 5.8S ribosomal RNA and internal transcribed spacer 2". The stretch from base 1 to 133 matches the Rfam family "5.8S ribosomal RNA", at positions 22 to 154 of the family's 154-position model. Lineage: Eukaryota; Fungi. The record is from RNAcentral.